This 876-nucleotide ribosomal RNA is filed under the name uncultured bacterium. Its description in RNAcentral is "bacterial SSU rRNA". It matches the Rfam family "Bacterial small subunit ribosomal RNA", at positions 56 to 933 of the family's 1533-position model. The record is from RNAcentral.
UGCAGUCGGACGGGAUUGAGGAGCUUGCUUCUCAUGAGAGUGGCGCACGGGUGCGUAACACGUAUGUAACCUACCUUGUUCAGGGGGAUAGCCUCUCGAAAGAGAGAUUAACACCGCAUAAAAUCAAUUUAUGGCAUCAUAGAAUGAUCAAAUAUUUAUAGGAACAAGAUGGGCAUGCGGAACAUUAGCUAGUUGGUAAGGUAACGGCUUACCAAGGCUACGAUGUUUAGGGGAUCUGAGAGGAUGACCCCCCACACUGGUACUGAGACACGGACCAGACUCCUACGGGAGGCAGCAGUAAGGAAUAUUGGUCAAUGGACGCAAGUCUGAACCAGCCAUGCCGCGUGCAGGAAGACGGCCCUACGGGUUGUAAACUGCUUUUGUACCGGAAUAAACCUUUUCACGUGUGAGAAGCUGAAUGUACGGUAAGAAUAAGGAUCGGCUAACUCCGUGCCAGCAGCCGCGGUAAUACGGAGGAUCCAAGCGUUAUCCGGAUUUAUUGGGUUUAAAGGGUGCGUAGGUGGCCUAUUAAGUCAGGGGUGAAAGACGGUAGCUUAACUAUCGCAGUGCCUUUGAUACUGAUGGGCUUGAAUACACUUGAGGUAGGCGGAAUGUGACAAGUAGCGGUGAAAUGCAUAGAUAUGUCACAGAACACCAAUUGCGAAGGCAGCUCACUAAAGUGUUAUUGACACUGAGGCACGAAAGCGUGGGGAUCAAACAGGAUUAGAUACCCUGGUAGUCCACGCCCUAAACGAUGAAUACUCGAUGUUGGCGAUAUACGGUCAGCGUCUAAGCGAAAGCGUUAAGUAUUCCACCUGGGGAGUACGCCCGCAAGGGUGAAACUCAAAGGAAUUGACGGGGGCCCGCACAAGCGGA